Long non-coding RNA from Daphnia carinata, 782 nucleotides. RefSeq lists it as uncharacterized. The transcript is spliced from 3 exons. The record is from RefSeq and is a predicted model, not a curated record. Lineage: Eukaryota; Metazoa; Arthropoda; Branchiopoda; Diplostraca; Daphniidae.
CCAUAAACAAACAGGUUUUCUAAUAAAAUUCGUCUGAAUAUUUCCCUUUGUUUUGAGCAGAGCUUUAAGGGAAAGCUGUUCGUGGUUGAUGAAGAAACCCAUGCAAAGUUGGACAAACUUGAGGACCAUCCUACUUUGUGUGUCCUUCAAGUGCACAGUUUUAAAAGUAUUGAUGGCAACAUUCUUGAAGGAUGGUUCUGCUUAAAAAAUAUAAGCCCAAAAGGCUAGAACAUGAAUUUACGAAUCUUGUUCUACUGAAGGCAAACAUGGGAGUGGUGUGUGGUUGUUAAUUCUUGAUUGAGGACUCAACACAGUUGAUCAGACCAAAUCACACUAACUUUCCAGCACACAGAGCGAGACAUUAUUAUGUAAGGAAAUUUAUCGAUGUGCUUUCUUUAGAUUGUGGACUAUAGCGUGCAUUGACUUAGCUAUCUUACUGGUAAACCACGAAAAUACUAUGCGUAGACAAAACCGUCACGUACCACGCUGCUGAGUGCCCAUAAUGUAAACAAGCAGGACAGACCGGCAAUUGAAGAUUGAUAGCUGAAAACUGGCAGAGUAGCAUUAAACACAGCACUGACAGUAAAAGGUCGAAUUGGUCGAACACUGCCUUACACAGGCAAAACAAGUAAAUGCCUAAACUUGGAUCUCUUCAACCCACGCAAUUAUCUUACCAUCAAACCCUGGGAGAAUCAUGUUAUCAUCUGCAAUCUGUGAAACAUAAAUUAAGUUAUUUUACGCCUCUUGAUAUUGGUAAGGAUAAAUUCUAAUUCAAUACCUCC